This 591-nucleotide ribosomal RNA is filed under the name Bertmainius mysticus. RNAcentral describes it as "SSU rRNA". It matches the Rfam family "Eukaryotic small subunit ribosomal RNA", at positions 528 to 1124 of the family's 1831-position model. The record is from RNAcentral. Lineage: Eukaryota; Metazoa; Arthropoda; Arachnida; Araneae; Migidae.
AAUCCUUUAACGAGGAUCUAUUGGAGGGCAAGUCUGGUGCCAGCAGCCGCGGUAAUUCCAGCUCCAAUAGCGUAUAUUAAAGUUGUUGCGGUUAAAAAGCUCGUAGUUGGAUCUCAGUUCCAGACGGGCGGUCCGCCUAACGGUGGUUACUGCCUGUUCUGAACAGCCAGCCGGUUUCCCUAGAUGAUCUUCACCGGUUGUCUUGGGUGACCGGCACGUUUACUUUGAAAAAAUUAGAGUGCUCAAAGCAGGCGUGUAGCCUGAAUAAUGGUGCAUGGAAUAAUGGAAUAGGACUUCGUUUCUAUUUUGUUGGUUUUCGGAACACGAGGUAAUGAUUAAGAGGGACAGACGGGGGCAUUCGUAUUGCGACGCUAGAGGUGAAAUUCUUGGACCGUCGCAAGACGAACUACUGCGAAAGCAUUUGCCAAGAAUGUUUUCAUUAAUCAAGAACGAAAGUUAGAGGUUCGAAGGCGAUCAGAUACCGCCCUAGUUCUAACCAUAAACGAUGCCAACCAGCGAUCCGCCUGAGUUCCUCAAAUGACUCGGCGGGCAGCUUCCGGGAAACCAAAGUGUUUGGGUUCCGGGGGAAGU